This 951-nucleotide ribosomal RNA is filed under the name Triticum aestivum (bread wheat). Its description in RNAcentral is "partial small subunit ribosomal RNA". The record is from RNAcentral. Lineage: Eukaryota; Viridiplantae; Streptophyta; Magnoliopsida; Poales; Poaceae.
AUGGCUUCUGCUCCUUGUCUUAGCUUACUGGUGCUCGUGGCAAUGGCCUCCGCGGCAUCGGCGCAGCUGUCGCCGACGUUCUACCUCGCAUCGUGCCCGAGCGCGUUGUUCAUCAUCCAAACUGCGGUCCAGGCCGCAGUGAAUAGCGAGCCCCGCAUGGGGGCGUCGCUGGUCCGGCUUCACUUCCACGACUGCUUUGUCGAUGGAUGUGACGGGUCCGUUCUGUUGGCAGACACGGGGAGCUUCGUCGGCGAGCAGGGGGCUGCUCCCAACGCCGGUUCCAUUCGAGGAAUGAACGUCAUCGACAACAUCAAGACCCAGGUCGAGGCCGCCUGCACGCAGACCGUCUCCUGCGCCGACAUCCUCGCCGUCGCCGCCCGUGACUCCGUCGUUGCGCUGGGAGGGCCAACAUGGCCUGUUCUUCUGGGGAGGAGGGACUCCACGACCGCAAGCAAGACCAAUGCAGAAAAUGACCUCCCACCUCCUACCUUCGACCUCCAAAACCUCACGACCGCGUUCGCCAACAAGCAGCUCAGCAUAACAGACAUGGUUGCGCUCUCAGGCGCCCACACGCUCGGACAAUCGCAGUGCCGGUUUUUCAGGAACAGGAUCUACAACGAGGCCAACAUCAACACGGCCUUCGCGACGGCGCUCAAGGCCAACUGCCCCCAGUCCGGCGGCGACAGCAGCCUGGCGCCGCUGGACACAGCGACGCCCAACGCUUUCGACAACGCCUAUUACAGCAACCUGAUUUCGCAGAAGGGGCUCCUACACUCGGACCAGGCGCUGUUCAAUGGCGGCGGUGCCGACAACACGGUCAUGAGCUUCGCGUCCAGCGCAGCGACAUUCAACAACGCCUUCGCCACAGCCAUGGUGAAGAUGGGGAACAUUGCGCCAAAGACUGGGACGCAGGGGCAGAUCAGGCUCGUCUGCUCCAAGGUCAACUCGUAA